GGCCAGACUCCUACGGGAGGCAGCAGUGGGGAAUAUUGGGCAAUGGGCGCAAGCCUGACCCAGCCACGCCGCGUGAAGGAAGAAGGCUUUCGGGUUGUAAACUUCUUUUAAGAGGGAAGAGCAGAAGACGGUACCUCUUGAAUAAGCCACGGCUAACUACGUGCCAGCCGCCGCGGUAAUACGUAGGUGGCAAGCGUUGUCCGGAUUUACUGGGUGUAAAGGGCGUGUAGCCGGGCUGACAAGUCAGAUGUGAAAUUCCGGGGCUCAACCCCGGACCUGCAUUUGAAACUGGUGGUCUUGAGUGUCGGAGAGGCAGGCGGAAUUCCUAGUGUAGCGGUGAAAUGCGUAGAUAUUAGGAGGAACACCAGUGGCGAAGGCGGCCUGCUGGACGACAACUGACGGUGAGGCGCGAAAGCGUGGGGAGCAAACAGGAUUAGAUACCCCAGGAG
Molecule: ribosomal RNA, 449 nt
Filed under: uncultured bacterium
Lineage: Bacteria
Description: bacterial SSU rRNA
Rfam family: Bacterial small subunit ribosomal RNA
Source: RNAcentral